CCCAGACUCCUACGGGAGGCAGCAGUGGGGGAUAUUGCACAAUGGGGGAAACCCUGAUGCAGCGACGCCGCGUGGGUGAAGAAGUAUUUCGGUAUGUAAAGCCCUAUCAGCAGGGAAGAAAGAAGACGGUACCUGACUAAGAAGCCCCGGCUAACUACGUGCCAGCAGCCGCGGUAAUACGUAGGGGGCGAGCGUUAUCCGGAUUCACUGGGUGUAAAGGGAGCGUAGACGGCCGUGCAAGCCAGGAGUGAAAGCCCGGGGCCCAACCCCGGGACUGCUCUUGGAACUGUGCGGCUGGAGUGCGGGAGGGGCAGGCGGAAUUCCUGGUGUAGCGGUGAAAUGCGUAGAUAUCAGGAGGAACACCGGCGGCGAAGGCGGCCUGCUGGACCGCGACUGACGUUGAGGCUCGAAAGCGUGGGGAGCGAACAGGAUUAGAUACCCCAGUAU
RNAcentral lists this ribosomal RNA (447 nucleotides) under uncultured bacterium. RNAcentral describes it as "bacterial SSU rRNA". It matches the Rfam family "Bacterial small subunit ribosomal RNA", at positions 330 to 793 of the family's 1533-position model. The record is from RNAcentral.